AUGGAUGACUGCGAGAGUGACCGUGAGAGAGAGUAGGCAAACGUGGGUGUGAGAAUAUGGCUAAUUAUCUCCAGGCAAAUUUGAGCACAAGGUCCAAGAGAAUCAUAGCCCCUAUCAAGCUUCAAGCAAGCUGGUGGUGGCGAUGGAGAAUCUCCCCACCGAAUAUCACAUCCAUCUUCAGUAUUUUGCUAGCUGGUGCAUGG
This 203-nucleotide long non-coding RNA is filed under the name Elaeis guineensis (African oil palm). RNAcentral's name for it is "long non-coding RNA (EGUI_LNC007403)". The record is from RNAcentral. Lineage: Eukaryota; Viridiplantae; Streptophyta; Magnoliopsida; Arecales; Arecaceae.